Molecule: ribosomal RNA, 978 nt
Filed under: Pseudomonas sp. 34(2013)
Lineage: Bacteria; Pseudomonadati; Pseudomonadota; Gammaproteobacteria; Pseudomonadales; Pseudomonadaceae
Description: bacterial SSU rRNA
Rfam family: Bacterial small subunit ribosomal RNA
Source: RNAcentral
UGCAGUCGAGCGGUAGAGAGAAGCUUGCUUCUCUUGAGAGCGGCGGACGGGUGAGUAAUGCCUAGGAAUCUGCCUGGUGGUGGGGGAUAACGUUCGGAAACGGACGCUAAUACCGCAUACGUCCUACGGGAGAAAGCGGGGGACCUUCGGGCCUCGCGCCAUUAGAUGAGCCUAGGUCGGAUUAGCUAGUUGGUGAGGUAAUGGCUCACCAAGGCUACGAUCCGUAACUGGUCUGAGAGGAUGAUCAGUCACACUGGAACUGAGACACGGUCCAGACUCCUACGGGAGGCAGCAGUGGGGAAUAUUGGACAAUGGGCGAAAGCCUGAUCCAGCCAUGCCGCGUGUGUGAAGAAGGUCUUCGGAUUGUAAAGCACUUUAAGUUGGGAGGAAGGGUAGUAACUUAAUACGUUGCUACUUUGACGUUACCGACAGAAUAAGCACCGGCUAACUUCGUGCCAGCAGCCGCGGUAAUACGAAGGGUGCAAGCGUUAAUCGGAAUUACUGGGCGUAAAGCGCGCGUAGGUGGUUCAGUAAGUUGAAUGUGAAAUCCCCGGGCUCAACCUGGGAACUGCAUCCAAAACUGCUGAGCUAGAGUACGGUAGAGGGUAGUGGAAUUUCCUGUGUAGCGGUGAAAUGCGUAGAUAUAGGAAGGAACACCAGUGGCGAAGGCGACUACCUGGACUGGUACUGACACUGAGGUGCGAAAGCGUGGGGAGCAAACAGGAUUAGAUACCCUGGUAGUCCACGCCGUAAACGAUGUCAACUAGCCGUUGGGAGUCUUGAACUCUUAGUGGCGCAGCUAACGCAUUAAGUUGACCGCCUGGGGAGUACGGCCGCAAGGUUAAAACUCAAAUGAAUUGACGGGGGCCCGCACAAGCGGUGGAGCAUGUGGUUUAAUUCGAAGCAACGCGAARACCCUUACCUGGCCUUGACAUGCUGAGAACUUUUCUAGAGAUAGAUUGGUGCCUUCGGGAACUC